AGUAUAGCUCAGGGCAGAGUACUUGCCUAUCAUGCAAGAGGCCUUGGGUUCAAUCCUCAGUACU
RNAcentral lists this transfer RNA (64 nucleotides) under Ictidomys tridecemlineatus (thirteen-lined ground squirrel). RNAcentral's name for it is "Spermophilus tridecemlineatus (thirteen-lined ground squirrel) tRNA". It matches the Rfam family "tRNA". Rfam says of the family: Transfer RNA (tRNA) molecules are approximately 80 nucleotides in length. Their secondary structure includes four short double-helical elements and three loops (D, anti-codon, and T loops). Lineage: Eukaryota; Metazoa; Chordata; Mammalia; Rodentia; Sciuridae. The record is from Rfam by way of RNAcentral.